AGAUAAAUUUUUUAUAUUUUAUAUAUUUUAUUAUAAAUUUAUUUUACAUGUAAAUUUUAGUAUUAAAUUUUAAUUAUUUUAAUAAUAAUUAAUUAAAUUUUACAGUAAUUAAAAUUAAAAAUUUAAGAAAUUAAGAUUUAGUAAUAUUUAAAUUAAUAACUAAUUUUGUGCCAGCAGUUGCGGUUAAACAAAAAUUAAAUUAAAUUAUUUCAGUAUAUAAUAAAUAAUAAUAUAAUUAAAUUAAAUAUUAAAUUAUUAAGUGAAAUUUUAAUUUAAUUAAAAAUUAUAAUGAAAUUAUGAUUUACCAAAUUUUAUUAUAAACUAGGAUUAGAUACCCUAUUAUUAAAAAUUUAAUUAAAAAUACUAAAAUAGUAAAUAAUAUUUUAUUGAAACUUAAAUAAUAUGGCGGUAUUUUAGUUCAUUUAGAGGAAUCUGUCUAAUAAUUGAUAAUCCACGAAUAAAUUUACUUAAUUUAUAAUUUUGUAUAUCAUUGUUAAAAAAAUAUUUUUAAAUAAAAAUAAUAUUUUAAAAUUUAAAAUAAAAUUUAAUUCAGAUCAAGAUGCAGUUUAUAAUUAAGUUUAAGAUGGAUUACAAUAAAUUUAUUUAAACGAAAAGAAUUUUGUAAAAUUUAAUUGAAGGUGGAUUUAAAUGUAAUUUUAAUUAAUUUAUUAAAAUGAUUAAAAAUUGAAAUAUGUACAUAUUGCCCGUCACUUUCAUUUAAAAAUUGAAAUAAGUCGUAACAAAGUAGAGGUACUGGAAAGUGUUUCUAGAAUGAA
RNAcentral lists this non-coding RNA (776 nucleotides) under Limenitis archippus (viceroy). Lineage: Eukaryota; Metazoa; Arthropoda; Insecta; Lepidoptera; Nymphalidae. The record is from RNAcentral.